Molecule: ribosomal RNA, 249 nt
Filed under: uncultured bacterium
Lineage: Bacteria
Description: partial 16S ribosomal RNA
Rfam family: Bacterial small subunit ribosomal RNA
Source: RNAcentral
UACGUAGGGGGCAAGCGUUGUCCGGAAUCAUUGGGCGUAAAGCGCGUGUAGGCGGCUGGGUAAGUCCGCUCUGAAAGCCCGGGGCUCAACCCCGGGAGGCGGGUGGAUACUGCUCAGCUCGAGUCCGGAAGAGGAGUGUGGAAUUCCUGGUGUAGCGGUGAAAUGCCGCAGAUAUCAGGAGGAACACCAAUGGCGAAGGCAGCACUCUGGGACGGUACUGACGCUGAGACGCGAAAGCGUGGGGAGCAA